RNAcentral lists this ribosomal RNA (85 nucleotides) under Staphylococcus sp. CH99b_3. RNAcentral describes it as "partial 23S ribosomal RNA". The record is from RNAcentral. Lineage: Bacteria; Bacillati; Bacillota; Bacilli; Caryophanales; Staphylococcaceae.
GAUGAUGAGGUUAAUAGGUUCGAGGUGGAAGCAUAGUGAUAUGUGGAGCUGACGAAUACUAAUCGAUCGAAGACUUAAUCAAUUU